This 484-nucleotide unclassified non-coding RNA is filed under the name Hevea brasiliensis (rubber tree). Lineage: Eukaryota; Viridiplantae; Streptophyta; Magnoliopsida; Malpighiales; Euphorbiaceae. The record is from RNAcentral.
AAAUCAACACAAAAUUCCUAAAUAAAAAUGAAACUCUACUUCCUAAAUAAUAGUUAAAUUCUUAAACAAUAUAAACUUCCUAAUUUAAAUUUCCUAAUUUAACCAUGGUUUUAAAUAACAAUUGUCACGUUACUUAACAGCCAUUAUUUAAAGAUUUUUUGGUUGACUGUUACCUUUACAAUCGUUAUUUGCUAGAUUUUAAAAUUUGUAACAAUAAAGGUUGUUACGGCCAUUAUUUAAAGAUAAUGGCCGUUACUGACCGUUAAGUAACGACCAUGAUGGCUAUUACAUUUCCAACUAAGAAUUUUUGGCUUUUUUUUUUUUUAAUCUCUUUCACAUGAAAUACAGUAGACGAAACCUUUUUUUGGGCAAAAAACUCUCAAUUUUCCCCACAACCAAUUCAAUUGAAAUUCUUCAUUUCUCUACAAAUUUUUGAGUUCAAGAGUAUGGAUUAUCAAACAGACAAGGUAAUUUUGAAGUAAAG